RNAcentral lists this ribosomal RNA (740 nucleotides) under uncultured bacterium. Its description in RNAcentral is "bacterial SSU rRNA". It matches the Rfam family "Bacterial small subunit ribosomal RNA", at positions 33 to 773 of the family's 1533-position model. The record is from RNAcentral.
ACGCUAGCGGGAGGCCUAACACAUGCAAGCCGAGCGGUAUUUGUUCUUCGGAACAGAGAGAGCGGCGUACGGGUGCGGAACACGUGUGCAACCUGCCUUUAUCUGGGGGAUAGCCUUUCGAAAGGAAGAUUAAUACCCCAUAAUAUAUUUUACGGCAUCGUGGAAUAUUGAAAACUCCGGUGGAUAGAGAUGGGCACGCGCAAGAUUAGAUAGUUGGUGAGGUAACGGCUCACCAAGUCAGUGAUCUUUAGGGGGCCUGAGAGGGUGAUCCCCCACACUGGUACUGAGACACGGACCAGACUCCUACGGGAGGCAGCAGUGAGGAAUAUUGGACAAUGGGUGCAAGCCUGAUCCAGCCAUCCCGCGUGAAGGACUAAGGCCCUAUGGGUUGUAAACUUCUUUUAUACUGGGAUAAACCUACUUACGUGUAAGUAGCUGAAGGUACAGUAUGAAUAAGCACCGGCUAACUCCGUGCCAGCAGCCGCGGUAAUACGGAGGGUGCAAGCGUUAUCCGGAUUUAUUGGGUUUAAAGGGUCCGUAGGCGGAUCUGUAAGUCAGUGGUGAAAUCUCAUAGCUUAACUAUGAAACUGCCAUUGAUACUGCAGGUCUUGAGUGAGAUUGAGGUAGCUGGAAUAAGUAGUGUAGCGGUGAAAUGCAUAGAUAUUACUUAGAACACCAAUUGCGAAGGCAGGUUACCAAGUCUUAACUGACGCUGAGGGACGAAAGCGUGGGGAGCGAAC